UAGGGAAUCUUCGGCAAUGGACGGAAGUCUGACCGAGCAACGCCGCGUGAGUGAAGAAGGUUUUCGGAUCGUAAAGCUCUGUUGUUAGAGAAGAACGUUGGUAGGAGUGGAAAAUCUACCAAGUGACGGUAACUAACCAGAAAGGGACGGCUAACUACGUGCCAGCAGCCGCGGUAAUACGUAGGUCCCGAGCGUUGUCCGGAUUUAUUGGGCGUAAAGCGAGCGCAGGCGGUUCUUUAAGUCUGAAGUUAAAGGCAGUGGCUUAACCAUUGUACGCUUUGGAAACUGGAGGACUUGAGUGCAGAAGGGGAGAGAGGAAUUCCAUGUGUAGCGGUAAACUGCGUAGUUAUAUGGAGGAACACCGGUAGCGAAAGCGGCUCUCUGGUCUGUAACUGACGCUGAGGCUCGAAAGCGUGGGGAGCAAACAGG
Molecule: ribosomal RNA, 429 nt
Filed under: Bacillota bacterium
Lineage: Bacteria; Bacillati; Bacillota
Description: Firmicutes bacterium partial 16S ribosomal RNA
Rfam family: Bacterial small subunit ribosomal RNA
Source: RNAcentral